RNAcentral lists this ribosomal RNA (200 nucleotides) under uncultured bacterium. RNAcentral describes it as "partial 16S ribosomal RNA". It matches the Rfam family "Bacterial small subunit ribosomal RNA", at positions 1300 to 1500 of the family's 1533-position model. The record is from RNAcentral.
GAAGGCUGAAAUUCGCCUUCAUGAAGCUGGAAUUGCUAGUAAUGGCAGGUCAGCAUACUGCCGUGAAUACGUUCCCGGGCCUUGUACACACCGCCCGUCACACCAUGAGAGUUGGAAAUACCCGAAGCCUGUGAGCUAACUUAAAGAGGCAGCAGUCGAAGGUAGAGCCAAUGAUUGGGGUGAAGUCGUAACAAGGUAGC